AUGCAGUCGGGGAGGAAUGAUGAAAACAGCGGCGAUGCGGCGUCCCGACUUGAUCCACUUGAUGAUGAAGAAGAAGUCUUCCAUGGUGAAGCUCCCGGACACGCUAGAUCAGCACGGAGGCAACGAUGGUCGCAACGACGACAUGGCGGCGGACGAGCUCGGGAUCGAGCAAUUGGAGAGGGAGAGGGGCAAGUGGGGGAAGGGGAUUAG
RNAcentral lists this ribosomal RNA (210 nucleotides) under Triticum aestivum (bread wheat). RNAcentral's name for it is "partial small subunit ribosomal RNA". The record is from RNAcentral. Lineage: Eukaryota; Viridiplantae; Streptophyta; Magnoliopsida; Poales; Poaceae.